UCGUAACAAGGUUUCCGUAGGUGAACCUGCGGAAGGAUCAUUAGUGAAUAUAGGACGUCCAACUUAACUUGGAGUCCGAACUCUCACUUUCUAACCCUGUGCACUUGUUUGGGAUAGUAACUCUCGCAAGAGAGCGAACUCCUAUUCACUUAUAAACACAAAGUCUAUGAAUGUAUUAAAUUUUAUAACAAAAUAAAACUUUCAACAACGGAUCUCUUGGCUCUCGCAUCGAUGAAGAACGCAGCGAAAUGCGAUAAGUAAUGUGAAUUGCAGAAUUCAGUGAAUCAUCGAAUCUUUGAACGCACCUUGCGCUCCAUGGUAUUCCGUGGAGCAUGCCUGUUUGAGUGUCAUGAAUACUUCAACCCUCCUCUUUCUUAAUGAUUGAAGAGGUGUUUGGUUUCUGAGCGCUGCUGGCCUUUACGGUCUAGCUCGUUCGUAAUGCAUUAGCAUCCGCAAUCGAACUUCGGAUUGACUUGGCGUAAUAGACUAUUCGCUGAGGAAUUCUAGUCUUCGGAUUAGAGCCGGGUUGGGUUAAAGGAAGCUUCUAAUCAGAAUGUCUACAUUUUAAGAUUAGAUCUCAAAUCAGGUAGGACUACCCGCUGAACUUAAGCAUAUCA
RNAcentral lists this unclassified non-coding RNA (617 nucleotides) under Rhodotorula mucilaginosa. RNAcentral describes it as "sequence contains 18S rRNA gene, ITS1, 5.8S rRNA gene, ITS2, 28S rRNA gene". The stretch from base 197 to 350 matches the Rfam family "5.8S ribosomal RNA". The record is from RNAcentral. Lineage: Eukaryota; Fungi; Basidiomycota; Microbotryomycetes; Sporidiobolales; Sporidiobolaceae.